GCUGGUCCACGCGUCGAGGAGACCGGAUACGCGGAAUGAUCAGGACCGUCGGAGUGACACGCAUCGCUUCCGUCUCCACUCAACCGUCACCGCUUGGAAACAUCGCCGGAACUGCCUCGUCGGAACUGCCUCGCCGCAAAACUCGUUCCGACGGAGCUCAUAAGACCGAAGAGCCUCCGUCGAAACCACCACCUUUCUUCAACGCUAGAUCUUCUUCCCGGAGAGAUGCAUCGAACCAAUCGAGAUCUCCUCCGCUUAAAGCAAGCCGACAACCACUUGAAACGCACAAAGCCACCAGAGCGCAUCAAUCGUCCUCCGACGAGAGCACCUCCAUCAGAUCAAUCUCGACAUCGCACAAACGAAAAUGAUACCCUAAAAAAACGCAACUAGGAAACAAACAAGAGCCGGCGACGCAAGGCAAAGAACACCUUCACCCCCCCGGAGACUAGAGCCGGCGAAAGCGGAGCUGAGGAAGCCUCCACCUCCCGGAAACAAGGCCGGCGGCGAUAGAGCUCUAGAAGCCUCUACCUCACGGAAACGAAACCUACUCUAAAACAGCCAGCUUCACCACCCAAUCCUCCACACGAUUGCGUUGUUACUCCAGACGCCGCGCCCCCAAAGAUGAUGGUUCACUCCCGGAGGUGACGACGACGGAAAAGACCCGGACCAGAGCUUCGCCAAGGCAAAAGGAAGAGGACGCGUAAUAUAAACCGGGGAACUUUCUCAUCGGAAGAAUGGAGGGCUCCGGCGAUGGCACGCUCGCUCACGCGCCGGCCGUCCGCCGGACCCUCGAUCAGAUCUACUUUCUCUUUCUUUCUUUCUCUCUCUUUCUUUCUUUCUCUCUACACCUUGAG
RNAcentral lists this long non-coding RNA (854 nucleotides) under Brassica napus (rape). RNAcentral's name for it is "long non-coding RNA (BNAP_LNC012714)". Lineage: Eukaryota; Viridiplantae; Streptophyta; Magnoliopsida; Brassicales; Brassicaceae. The record is from RNAcentral.